AUCAUUACCGAGCGUGGGUCCCCUGUGGCCCCCUUUCCCGGGGGCCCGGGGUUGACCCUAGACCUCCCACCCUUGUCGAUUGUACCGUGUUGCUUCGGCGGGCCCGCCAUCGGCCGCCGGGGGGCUCGUGACUUGUGCGCGUUGCCCCCGGGCCCGUGCCCGCCGGAGACCUCCCUCGAAAUGCUACCGUGGUCUGAAAUGCUGUCUGAGUGGGAAUGAUGUGAGAAAUUGAUCAGUCAAAACUUUCAACAAUGGAUCUCUUGGUUCCGGCAUCGAUGAAGAACGCAGCGAAAUGCGAUAAGUAAUGCGAAUUGCAGAAUUCCGUGAGUCAUCGAAUCUUUGAACGCACAUUGCGCCCCCCGGCUGCCCGGGGGGCAUGCCUGUCCGAGCGUCAUUGCCAUCCCCUCAAGCUCCGCUUGGCUGGUUGGGUCGACGUCCACCCGUGGCCAUUGUGCCAGGGGGGACGGACCCGAAAGGCAGUGGCGGCUCCCGGAGGGUGGUCCCUUGGGGCGGUGAGACAUGGGUUGUCAUCUUCCACCGCUCUGUUGGCCACGCUCCGGGGGUCUGUCGAACGAUUGGUCUUCCCCUUUAGGUUGACCUCGGAUCAGGUAGGGAUACCCGCUGAACUUAAGCAUAUCAAUAAGCGGAGGAAAAGAAACCAACCGGGAUUGCCUCAGUAACGGCGAGUGAAGCGGCAACAGCUCAAAUUUGAAAUCUGGCCCCCCUUAGGGGUCCGAGUUGUAAUUUGGAGAGGAUGCUUCGGGUUCGGUCCCGGUCCAAGUGCCCUGGGACGGGCCGUCGGAGAGGGUGAGAAUCCCGUCUGCGACCGGUGACUGGGCCUGGGUGAAGCUCCCUCGACGAGUCGAGUUGUUUGGGAAUGCAGCUCUAAAUGGGUGGUAAAUUUCAUCUAAAGCUAAAUAUUGGCCAGAGACCGAUAGCGCACAAGUAGAGUGAUCGAAAGAUGAAAAGCACUUUGGAAAGAGAGUCAAACAGCACGUGAAAUUGUUGAAAGGGAAGCGCUUGCGAUCAGACUCGCCCGGGGAGGUUCAGCUGGCACUUGUGCCGGUGCAUUGCUACCCGGGCGGGCCAGCGUCGGUUCGGACGGCCUGUCAAAGGCCCCCGGAAGGUAGCGCCCCUUGGGGCGUCUUAUAGCCGGGGGUGUCAUGCGGCCUGUCCGGACCGAGGAACGCGCCUUUGGGCUCGGACGCUGGCGUAAUGGUCGUAAGCGGCCCGUCUUGAAACACGGACCAAGGAGUCUAACAUCCACGCGAGUGUUCGGGUGUUCAAAACCCGUCCGCGCAGUGAAAGCGAACGGAGGUGGGAACCCCCUUGGGGUGCACCAUCGACCGAUCCUGAUGUCUUCGGAUGGAUUUGAGUAGGAGCGUGGCUGUUGGGACCCGAAAGAUGGUGAACUAUGCCUGAAUAGGGCGAAGCCAGAGGAAACUCUGGUGGAGGCUCGCAG
Molecule: ribosomal RNA, 1462 nt
Filed under: Elaphomyces sp. 4 EL-2015
Lineage: Eukaryota; Fungi; Ascomycota; Eurotiomycetes; Eurotiales; Elaphomycetaceae
Description: eukaryotic LSU rRNA
Rfam family: Eukaryotic large subunit ribosomal RNA (bases 595-1462)
Source: RNAcentral